UACGUGGAGGGGCGAACGUUGUUCGGUGUCACUGGGCUUAAAGGGCGCGUAGGUGGCUGCGUAAGUAAGGUGUGAAAGCCCCUCGGCUUACCCGGGGAAUUGCGCCUUAUACUGCGUGGCUUGAGGAUUUCAGGGGGAAAGGGGAACUCCGAGUGGUAGCGGUGAAAUGCGCAGAUAUUCGGGGGAAGCCGGCGGCGAAGGCGCCUU
RNAcentral lists this ribosomal RNA (207 nucleotides) under uncultured bacterium. Its description in RNAcentral is "partial 16S ribosomal RNA". It matches the Rfam family "Bacterial small subunit ribosomal RNA", at positions 524 to 727 of the family's 1533-position model. The record is from RNAcentral.